Molecule: transfer RNA, 469 nt
Filed under: Oscillatoria sp. BWN2
Lineage: Bacteria; Bacillati; Cyanobacteriota; Cyanophyceae; Oscillatoriales; Oscillatoriaceae
Description: partial 16S-23S ribosomal RNA intergenic spacer
Rfam family: tRNA (bases 262-334)
Source: RNAcentral
UUUAGGGAGACCAUCUGAACAUCGACCGAACCUAAAAUAUAGGUCGUUAUCAGUCAUCUGGUCGUUCGAGGAAUAAAGCUUUCAAACUAUUAUGGUUCGGAACUCGUGGGCUCAGUUGGUUAGAGCGCACCCCUGAUAAGGGUGAGGUCCCUGGUUCAAAUCCAGGAUGGCCCACCUGGAAAAAAGUGAUGAAUUGUCAGUAAUGUAAUGGAUAAUCAAUGAUAAUUCAGGACUCAUAAAAUCAAAAUCACUUACAAGUGUGGGGGUAUAGCUCAGUUGGUAGAGCGCCUGCCUUGCACGCAGGAAGUCAGCGGUUCGAGUCCGCUUACCUCCACUCUCACUAACUAGAAUCAACUACAAAAGAAUAGAUCAGCACCUAGACUAUCGAAAAGUCGGAAUGCUGGAGUCUAGAACUCUAGUCAGAACCUUGAAAACUGCAUAGAAAUUCAUCAAAGCGUGUCUAUCAUCC